Molecule: long non-coding RNA, 559 nt
Organism: Paramormyrops kingsleyae
Lineage: Eukaryota; Metazoa; Chordata; Actinopteri; Osteoglossiformes; Mormyridae
Source: RefSeq, a predicted model, not a curated record
GGCAAGACCGUGGACCGUGGAGGGCUGGUGUCUGAGCACAUGACUUUGGGACUUCAGUAACUUCGGAAGAAUCACUUAGAAUGCAACAACGAACAAUCACACACACACACAAAAACAACUUACAAAUAAUGUUAAGCAAACAGGUAAACGGGGCCUCGGGUGAAGGAGGAGGGCGUGAGCUUCCUGUCUCGCUUUAAGCUUUGCGGAAGCAAGCGACACAUGGAAGAGGCACCGCUUGCAGAGAAACCCACACAUCUAGCGGCCUUCUGACCCAGAAGCAUGAAGACAGAGGUAGAGAAGAGCUCCUUCAUAGGUAGGGCUGUUUUUACUCGCUAAUGGGCAGGGCGCCCAGGCGCUGAGCUGAGGGGGGGCCCCUGAGGCAUGCUGUCCUCAUCUCGCACCCCCAGCCUGUCAUGGCCCUACCGGGGCCAUAUUUGCAUCAUCCCAGCUCCAUCGCAGGCUAUUCAAACUCCCCUUAUGAAAAUUCACUAUGGUUUCCUAUGGUUUUUAUGCAGUAACCAUAGUUUUACUAUGGUAUCUCAUGGUAGUACCCAUAGUG